CAUAAAAUUCAUAUACGUUGUCUGUGGUUCUUUUAAUGAAGGUUCGAGAAAAGUACCUAUCAUUUGGUGCCGAAAUCCGGGAUCUCUCAACCCCCGCUGACAGGCAGAGGAAGACGCGCUGAAUCCGUGCACGGCCAGAGUCAACAGGACCUGGAAAGAAAGACCCAGGAAGCAAAAUUCUUCGCUGGGCCAGCGACACAUGUCCGACUUUGUCUGCCAACGGCGGAGUGACGAGAUCCGACUGGACAACCCGAAAACUACAGAAACGUAGGUGAAUUUUAAAACUAAAGAAGUUAUAAAGGUUUGAGUCCCAGUUGACAGAGUUUCAACUAAAGGCAAAAGGUAAGGCUCUUAGAGCCCCCUUACUUCGAGGACACCCCUUAAGGGCAAGUCCUCAUGUAGAUAGGAAGCUUAUUAUUACUGUUCUGUUAUUACUGUGCUGAUAUUGCUGUUUUGCUACUGCUGCUUUGUUGAUGUGUGUGUAUGAAGGAGUGAAUGGUGCUUCUUUCUCUGGGAGUAAAACACUCUGUCUUCGGAAUUAGAAUCCAAAGUGAAGAACCGCUUGGAAGCUCGGCUCCAAGUAGAAGCCUGUUCUUCAGAAGGCACUGAGCGCUGACCUACGGCACUUUCUCUGAGAGAGCACAUAAUACCAAAAAUUUUCAAGCUAAAAUUGCAAGUGAUUUAAAUAAUGGGAAACACAUAUUUUUGUAAUUCCUCACUUGUUGAGGGCCCUGACGGGGAUGAAAAGUACAUGCUGUCCAGAUUUCCUGGUAGCACUGUACACAUGAAAAAAUGGAGAAAGAAAUAUAAAAUAGAUGGGAAGCUAAAAAUUGAUCAAUGGCAAACAAUUGUGGGAAUUUUGGAGAGUAGUGUAGAAAGA
Long non-coding RNA from Poecilia latipinna (sailfin molly), 880 nucleotides. RefSeq lists it as uncharacterized. Lineage: Eukaryota; Metazoa; Chordata; Actinopteri; Cyprinodontiformes; Poeciliidae. The transcript has 2 exons. The record is from RefSeq and is a predicted model, not a curated record.